This 102-nucleotide non-coding RNA is filed under the name Yersinia massiliensis. Its description in RNAcentral is "Yersinia sRNA 224". It matches the Rfam family "Yersinia sRNA 224". The record is from RNAcentral. Lineage: Bacteria; Pseudomonadati; Pseudomonadota; Gammaproteobacteria; Enterobacterales; Yersiniaceae.
UUUUGGCAAAGUGUCAGGGGCAGUGAAAACAGGCAGAUCGUAAAGACGCCGUGAAUCCGUCCAUGGAGGCUCGGGCCGCGCCAUCCUUGGCGCGGACGCUUU